CCUACGGGGGGCUGCAGUAACGAAUCUUCCGCAAUGCCCGCAAGGGUGACGGAGCGACGCCGCGUGGAGGUUAAGUCCCUCGGGAUGUAAACUCCUGUCGGGGGCCACCGGGGCCCCAGAGGAAGGCACGGCUAACUCUGUGCCAGCAGCCGCGGUAAUACAGAGGUGCCGAGCGUUAGGCGGAAUCACUGGGCUUAAAGCGCGCGUAGGUGGGCGUCUAAGUGCCGCGUGAAAUCCCACGGCUCAACCGUGGAACGGCCGGGCAGACUGGACGCCUUGAGGCACGCAGGGGCGAGCGGAACAAGUGGUGGAGCGGUGAAAUGCGUAGAUAUCACUUGGAACGCCGACGGUGAAAACAGCUCGCUGGGCGUGUCUGACACUGAGGCGCGAAAGCCAGGGGAGCGAACGGGAUUAGAUACCCUUGUAGUC
Molecule: ribosomal RNA, 429 nt
Filed under: uncultured bacterium
Lineage: Bacteria
Description: partial 16S ribosomal RNA
Rfam family: Bacterial small subunit ribosomal RNA
Source: RNAcentral